UCUGACCAAACAUAAAAGAAGGGAAUGACAUAGAGGAACUUUCAAUAUUGAAAGCAAACAUUUUGUAACAGGCCAUUAUCCAGAUAAGAUAGAUGAAGAAACAUGUUCUUGUUGAAGAAGUUGAUCUACUUCACCACAAGUUCUCAAAGGCAAGUUUACACAACUAAAAACACAUCAGUGUUGUCUUUUAGCACUUAACUUGUUUUUCAAUUUGCUACUAAAAAAAUUAUAUAGGCUGUGGCCAAAAUCAAUUAAUAAAAACCAACUUUCUCUAGGCAAAGAUACACAGGAAUAUGUGCUGAACUUUUGAUGUGAUCUGAUGAAACUUAACUUGUUGGCAAACUAAAAAAUAAUAUCAAAACAAAUACUUACCUACAAUGUGAUGUUUGUUUUCUUCUGUGUUUAUACUUGCUUCUUUGCACUGUUUACGUCAAAGGGCAACAUUUUAUUAUUCAACCAGGACAUGUCGGCCACGUGGGGAAACAAUUUAUUUUUUAACACUUAAUUCGGAAUCAGCCGUUUUCUUGUAGCAUUCAUAACUGCUAAGGAUGGCACUGAUGAAAUGCAAUACACCAACAAAAAAGCUA
This is a long non-coding RNA of Daphnia magna, 587 nucleotides long. RefSeq lists it as uncharacterized. The record is from RefSeq and is a predicted model, not a curated record. NCBI's taxonomy places the organism in Eukaryota, Metazoa, Arthropoda, Branchiopoda, Diplostraca, Daphniidae. The transcript is spliced from 2 exons.